ANUAGCAGUGAGGAAUAUUGCGCAAUGGGGGAAACCCUGACGCAGCAACGCCGCGUGAGUGAAGAAGGCUUUCGGGUCGUAAAGCUCUGUCAAGUGGGAAAAAAGUCUGAUGAUUAAUAGUUGUCAGAUCUGAUGGUACCACUGGAGGAAGCACCGGCUAACUCCGUGCCAGCAGCCGCGGUAAUACGGAGGGUGCAAGCGUUGUUCGGAAUUACUGGGCGUAAAGGGCGUGCAGGCGGGUUGGUAAGUCAGAUGUGAAAGCCCUGGGCUCAACCCAGGAAGUGCAUUUGAAACUGCCAUCCUAGAGUAUGGGAGAGGAGAGUGGAAUUCCCGGUGUAGAGGUGAAAUUCGUAGAUAUCGGGAGGAAUACCGGUGGCGAAGGCGACUUUCUGGCUGAAUACUGACGCUGAGGCGCGAAAGCGUGGGGAGCAAACAGGAUUAGAUACCCUGGUAGUCCACGCCGUAAACGAUGAGAACUAGAUGUUGGGGGUGUUGAUCCCUUCAGUGUCGCAGCUAACGCAUUAAGUUCUCCGCCUGGGGAGUACGCCGGCAACGGUAAAACUCAAAUGAAUUGACGGA
RNAcentral lists this ribosomal RNA (579 nucleotides) under uncultured bacterium. RNAcentral describes it as "bacterial SSU rRNA". It matches the Rfam family "Bacterial small subunit ribosomal RNA", at positions 347 to 917 of the family's 1533-position model. The record is from RNAcentral.